RNAcentral lists this long non-coding RNA (1139 nucleotides) under Anser brachyrhynchus (Pink-footed goose). Its description in RNAcentral is "lncRNA (ENSABRG00000001384.1)". Lineage: Eukaryota; Metazoa; Chordata; Aves; Anseriformes; Anatidae. The record is from RNAcentral.
CAUUAUUAAGGAUACUGAAUCAGUGGAAAAAUUUCUUAUUAUUGAUUUAAAUACAAUAUCAGUUUCUGCAUAAUCCAAAUAUUCUGAAGAAAAAGCUGAUUAAGACAUUUUGUUCUGGCUUUGCUCAUCUUCAAAGAUAUAAAUUACAGUAAUGUACAGGUCCUGUUAUGAGUUAGUUGGAACUGGUUGCAGUGUUGCAGAAGUGCAUGACUUGCUGUACAAACCUGAGAGGGGAGCUGCUUUGAAGAAAGGAGACCUGUUAGACUUCUGGAUUCUGGUGAUUCCUGAACAGCGUACCCAAAUCAAAAUAUACCAGGUGGCAUUGAUGGACGGUGCUGCCUGUUCAUUUAGCUGGAGGACUCUGUGAAUGCAUGCCAUGAGUGAAGGGGAGCAGUGAAAGCCCUGAAGCUUUGUAAUGGAGAGGAAAAUCAUCAGGAUUUUUCUCACUCCCACAGAACAAGCUGCUUAUCAGAACACCAUUAUUUUCCUGGACUGUUCCUGAUGUCUCCCCCAGCUUCAGCUCUGAAAAUGAUCUCUCUGAGUCACAGCAAAUGACUCAUCUGUAUCUGUUAGGUCAGACCUUGGGACACAGGCGAUGCAGAGGGAGAAGGAGACUCUUCCCUGGAGGAACUCUUGAGACUUCCGAAUGCUUGACUCAGUUUGAUAAGUGGCCUUGUGCAGCUAUCGUGCUCUCUUUCCCUCACUCCUCCACCUGUGGCUUUUAGCACUGCCUCUCACCUCGGCAGUGACAAUGCUGCCAAUGGCAAUGCAGUACAUGGGUUCUGUGCAGGGCAUGAUCCCUUCUGUACAUAGGGAGCCUUGCUACAAAAAGUUCGUUAUGCAAAUGCAACGCUGACCUUGUAUCAUGGGGCAGGCACCAAGCCAAAGGCAGCUCCCAAAAGCAGGCUACUAGGAAGAGUUCAUAUGAAAGUAAUGUGACUUAUUUGACACUCUCUCUGUAUGAGAAACCAACCAGAGCAUAGUUGUAAAAUGCUGAAGAUCAUUUGAAAUGAACUGAGUUGAACUGAAUGAAAUAUAAAGAUGACACUAAACAGUUAGUACAAUUUGCAAAUACAUAAUUGUUCCAAUAUAUAGUAAAUAUACAAUAGAAAUACACAAAUGUGGGGGGGACCAAGCUG